GUGCCCACCGCUAGUGUGACAAUAGAGGGAGCUCCUGAUCUGAACUGCGUCAGAUGGACCUCUGGGGGCAAAGACUCAGAGGGACGUGUGUGGAUAUAUAACAUUGGAGAGCUGGCUGUGCCCCACAGUGAGGAUUGGUCCUGCUUCGGACACACGCUGAUGGAGCUCCGUGCCAACUGUGGGGACAGUGGAGCUGGCCACGUAAACACAGGAUCAGAGUCAUCACCAGCCCAGACUGAGCCUGGUGUAACACACCCAAUUAGCAUGUUACUAGUAUUGUGCCAUUUGCUCCAAUGAAAGGGAAUCAACUUAAUCAUGCAGUCACCUGUCAAGAAAAGUUCAGAAAUAUCUUCAGUGGAUCAAAUCAGUACAAACAGUAGGCCUAUGCCGUCAGGAUUUGCUACCAAGGCUAAAGUGAGCUUAGGGUUUAGGUUGGGGUCAAGGGUAAGUAGGUGGUUUAACGUUGUAUAGGAAGUCAAAACUGUGAUUUACAUGACCGAUAAAGACUUUAGAAUCAGCUGCGCGGCGAGGGCUUGUGAUUAACUGGUUUAGAGAACAAAUCAUGAAUAAUCAAUAUUUUCGGACAAUUCCUAAAAUCCAGAGAUUAAUCGUUUACUGGAUCUGAAAUCACAUACUCUCCGAAUAGGAAGGCUUACUUCAAGAAAUGUUCUAUAAAGUAUGAAUGUGGGAAGUAUGAAAUUAAUCAAACCAUACUACAUUUGUAGUAAAUACAGCAAAUAAAUCAUAUUGUGAAUUUGAUUUCUCAGAGUCUGUGUGACUGUGUACAACAAAUGAAUAAGAAACGUCUGUCUAUUGAUUGGUCCUCUCGGAAUGCAUGUAAAAUAAACAUACAUGACCAAUUUUGUCCAAAUCAUAUUAUACUUUUAUGUGCUAAAUGUUUUUGAUUCGGAAAUGAAGACAAGGCAGAUUACUGAAAAGUUUUGUUUGAGCCCAUUCAUAAAUUAUAUAUACUGUAUUAUAAUUAAUAAUUAGCAAAGCUUGUCUAUCAUGUCAGCAAAAUAGACGUUGUAACUUCCUUUUACUUACCUGUCAUUCCAUAAUUAACGUGAAUAAUAAUGAACACAUUCUUUUUUUGGGGAAAGAGCUAUUUUGUGUCCCACACAAUAAAGUCAAUAAAGUUCGGAAUGAAUUUAAGGUGAUUAAAUAACAGAAUUUUCAUAUUUAGAUGUUUUACACUUGGCUUCGUUGCUUAGCAUUAAAAUUAGGUUUCAUAUCCAUGUGCUUUAUCUAGUUUUGUUGUGCGAGAGUUCAUUGUAUUUUACAUCCUGUGUCAUUACCUUGAUGGCAAUUACUACUAAAUCAAUGUUUAAUGUGCAUUUCGAAAAUGUGAAUUUGUAAUAGCAUACUGCUAGAAAAUACAUCUUCGAUGCUG
Long non-coding RNA from Carassius auratus (goldfish), 1393 nucleotides. RefSeq lists it as uncharacterized. Lineage: Eukaryota; Metazoa; Chordata; Actinopteri; Cypriniformes; Cyprinidae. The transcript is spliced from 2 exons. The record is from RefSeq and is a predicted model, not a curated record.